Molecule: ribosomal RNA, 497 nt
Filed under: uncultured bacterium
Lineage: Bacteria
Description: partial 16S ribosomal RNA
Rfam family: Bacterial small subunit ribosomal RNA
Source: RNAcentral
GAUGAACGCUGGCGGCGUGCCUAAUACAUGCAAGUCGAGCGAACAGACGAGGAGCUUGCUCCUCUGACGUUAGCGGCGGACGGGUGAGUAACACGUGGAUAACCUACCUAUAAGACUGGGAUAACUUCGGGAAACCGGAGCUAAUACCGGAUAAUAUAUUGAACCGCAUGGUUCAAUAGUGAAAGACGGUUUGGCUGUCACUUAUAGAUGGAUCCGCGCCGCAUUAGCUAGUUGGUAAGGUAACGGCUUACCAAGGCAACGAUGCGUAGCCGACCUGAGAGCAUGAUCACCCACACUGGCACUGAGAGACGGGCCAGCGUCCUACGGGAGGCAGCAGGGGGGAAUAGUGGGCAAUGGGCGCAAGCCUGAUCCAGCCAGACCGCGUGGGGGAAGAAGGCCGACGGGGUGUAAAGCCCUUGUGUUGGGAAAGAAAAGCAUCAGGAUAACACCCCGCGGUUCUGACGGUACCCAAAGAAUAAGCACCGGCUAACGGCGGG